Molecule: non-coding RNA, 250 nt
Organism: Pelobates cultripes (western spadefoot toad)
Lineage: Eukaryota; Metazoa; Chordata; Amphibia; Anura; Pelobatidae
Source: the annotation of a GenBank genome assembly
AGAAAAUAUAACAAAGAAUUUACAGGUUUUUGACACUAGCACAACAAAUUUUAAUAGCAGUUAUCUAUUUAGAUAAAAAUUCUAUACAAAUCCGGAAUAUAAAUCAUCUCAAUCAUAUCAUACAAGCAUUUGGAUUCAGACCCAGUGCAUGUAACUGCAUAACUUAAAUAUUUACAAAAUGUACACAUUUACCUAAGUACUAAAAAAAGUUGUUUUUUUUUUUUACAUUUUGAAAUGUUUUAUCUUGUAG